This is a long non-coding RNA of Arvicola amphibius (Eurasian water vole), 579 nucleotides long. RefSeq lists it as uncharacterized. The transcript has 2 exons. The record is from RefSeq and is a predicted model, not a curated record. Lineage: Eukaryota; Metazoa; Chordata; Mammalia; Rodentia; Cricetidae.
AGCAGCAAUGGGCAGAAAGUCACAGGAGCAAAAGGAUCUGCACCGGAGACAGGUCCUUCCAGCUGGAGCCUCACUGCGCAUGUCUCUAAGCUACAACCGCUAGGCCCCGUCCACACUCUGCAGGUUGUAGUGCUGAUCAACAGCUCAGGCCAGAGGAAAUGAGCGACACCGAACCUGAAUUAAAGGAACAUUUCUGAAAUGCUGGCGUUCGGGACAUCACAACAAACAGCUGCCGCCGACAAGGGCCCACUCCGGACGCCAGAGUGCCGGCACCUUAACUGUGUGUGUGUUCAGUAUCUUGAUCGCUCCUCAGAAGUUUCAGAAGAACUAUGUCCAUGCCAUGGGCUGACUGACGCCUGGGGUCCCCUCAGUCUUCCCAUUAAACUACAACCGGUGCCAGCCAGAUGGCUCAGCCAGUAAGGAAGCUUGCAGUCAAGCCUGAGCUGAAUCCCUGGGACCCAUACGAUAGAAAACCAGGACUGAACCUCCACAUGACAGACAUCCUGGCAUGUACAAGCUACCCACCCACCCCCCCACACACACACACAAAUAAAAAUUAAAUACAUGUUAAAAAGUUUA